AUUGAACGCUGGCGGCAGGCCUAACACAUGCAAGACGAGCGGAUGAAGGGAGCUUGCUCCUGGAUUCAGCGGCGGACGGGUGAGUAAUGCCUAGGAAUCUGCCUGGCAGUGGGGGAUAACGUCCGGAAAUGGGCGCUAAUACCGCAUACGCCCUGAGGGAGAAAGUGGGGGAUCUUCGGACCUCCCGCUAUCAGAUGAGCCUAGGUCGGAUUAGCUAGUUGGCGGGGUAAAGGCCUACCAAGGCGACGAUCCGUAACUGGUCUGAGAGGAUGAUCAGUCACACUGGAACUGAGACACGGUCCAGACUCCUACGGGAGGCAGCAGUGGGGAAUAUUGGACAAUGGGCGAAAGCCUGAUCCAGCCAUGCCGCGUGUGUGAAGAAGGUCUUCGGAUUGUAAAGCACUUUAAGUUGGGAGGAAGGGCAGUAAGUUAAUACCUUGCUGUUCUGACGUUACCAACAGAAUAAGCACCGGCUAACUUCGUG
This 484-nucleotide ribosomal RNA is filed under the name uncultured bacterium. Its description in RNAcentral is "partial 16S ribosomal RNA". It matches the Rfam family "Bacterial small subunit ribosomal RNA", at positions 30 to 507 of the family's 1533-position model. The record is from RNAcentral.